UGAGGUGAUAAGAAAGUGAGGUGCCUUUAAGAGCUUUAAAAUCCAGGGGUAAAGGGCCUCAAAUCUUCCGCUUCACAGGAGCAAAGUCACUAGGACCGAUCUCCUGCCUCCCAGCCAAGGGCAUCACUCACACUUUAAUCCUGGAUCCUGGAUCAUCUCUCCUAGUUUUACAACUUUUGCAGCCUCUACCUCCUGUACCAAGGGAGGAGGAGGAAGGGGAAGAAAGAGCAGGGUUUCCUCGGUGAUGGGUUAGUGACGGUGUUUCCCAGGCACCUAUUGUUUGCCAGGCUCUGAGCUGAGUGCUGGGGACACAGGGGUAACCAGCCCCAGCCCCACCCUCCAGGGCUCCCUGGGGAUGGGGGAGGAAAGUGACUUUCAUACAAGCUGCAUACUCAGAGCAGAAGCAAGAGAGACAGAGAGACCCAUAGGAGCUCUGCCAGCUUCUAGAGCCUCUCUCACUAGACUGUUUGAAGACUUAGUGGACCCUGGGUGGAAGUUCUUCCCCUUGUGGAACAGCCCUGUUGUGCUGCAGCGUCACCCCAUGUGGAUCCUUCACUCUGACACUGAAGAAUAUCUUUCUUUCUAAGAGCACUUUGCUUUCUUCCUCCUACUGAAUUCAGAUCCUCAGUCAAUCUUUAUAAUGACUAGUAAACAUCAGAAAGGACUCUGAGAUGCACUGCUAAUGGCGAGCUGCUGAUGUGAUAAUAAAAAGUUAGACUAAGGGUUUUGCUCACGUGUUAGAACUUUUACAUCCAAGAGGCAUUGUUCCCAUCCGUGUAAUUCACUUGGAAAGCUUGAUACCCAUUCCAGUCACAUCGCGCUGUCAAAUCACUUUGGGAACUCCCCUUUGGAAGUCUGUGGCAUGUGGUCUUGAAUAUUGGCAAAUGUUUAUUCUUUGAGGGUAAACUGUAUCUUUGGAAACACCCCCAAAGGCAUUUGGAUUGAAGUCUGGAGAAUAGGUAAGUGACCAAAACACGGGACUUUGCUUUGGGCCAAAAACCUUUUAAAACAUCUCUGUGUAGAUACUUAUUGCAAACAGGUCCUAGCUUCUGUGUUGUAAGAAAGAGAUCUCAAGUGUUUCAGAAUCUUGCCAUAUGAAAUAAAGCUUGACUGACCAUUUGAUGGGUAUGGAGUGGGGUAAAUGUGGGCACUGAUACUUGAAACCAAAUGACCCAUAUUCUCCCCUCAUGCUUUCACCACUGUUUUGGGUGUGGGAGAGAUGUUGGCUCCCUGACCCUGGGUCAGCUGGAGCAUCAAAGGUCAUUGAUCACCAUUUUCCUGCCAACAACGCUAAAUGGAGAUGCUCUCUCUUCUGUCCAUCACAAGAGUGUGGCUCAGCCUUUUAUAAAACCACUCCCUAUGUCCGCAUUCCCUGAGCUCUUCA
RNAcentral lists this long non-coding RNA (1384 nucleotides) under Homo sapiens (human). RNAcentral's name for it is "HSALNT0365204". Lineage: Eukaryota; Metazoa; Chordata; Mammalia; Primates; Hominidae. The record is from RNAcentral.